GACAGAGGGGGCAAGCGUUGUUCGGAAUUACUGGGCGUAAAGGGCGCGUAGGCGGCCCGCUAAGUCAAACGUGAAAUCCCCGAGCUCAACUCGGGAACUGCGUCCGAUACUGGCGGGCUUGAAUCCGGGAGAGGGAUGCGGAAUUCCAGGUGUAGCGGUGAAAUGCGUAGAUAUCUGGAGGAACACCGGUGGCGAAGGCGGUAUCCUGGACCGGCAUUGACGCUGAGGCGCGAAAGCGUGGGGAGCGAACAGG
Molecule: ribosomal RNA, 253 nt
Filed under: uncultured bacterium
Lineage: Bacteria
Description: partial 16S ribosomal RNA
Rfam family: Bacterial small subunit ribosomal RNA
Source: RNAcentral